UCCAGUCAAAAAUAAGUCUUUAAGG
Molecule: non-coding RNA, 25 nt
Filed under: Cricetulus griseus (Chinese hamster)
Lineage: Eukaryota; Metazoa; Chordata; Mammalia; Rodentia; Cricetidae
Source: RNAcentral